Molecule: ribosomal RNA, 840 nt
Filed under: uncultured Bacillota bacterium
Lineage: Bacteria; Bacillati; Bacillota
Description: bacterial SSU rRNA
Rfam family: Bacterial small subunit ribosomal RNA
Source: RNAcentral
UAACACAUGCAAGUCGAGCGAGAAGCUACCUAUGACCCUUCGGGGGACUAGACUAGUGGACAGCGGCGGACGGGUGAGUAACGCGUAAAUAACCUGCCAUGCACACAAGGAUAGCCAUCGGAAACGGUGAUUAAUACUUGAUGAGGCUACAGAUUCGCAUGAAUCAGUAGUUAAAGAAUUUUGGUGUAUGAUGGAUUUGCGUUUGAUUAACUAGUUGGUAAGGUAAUGGCUUACCAAGGCGAUGAUCAAUAGCCGGCCUGAGAGGGUGAACGGCCACACUGGAACUGAGACACGGUCCAGACUCCUACGGGAGGCAGCAGUGGGGAAUAUUGCACAAUGGAGGAAACUCUGAUGCAGCAACGCCGCGUGAACGAAGAAGGCUUUCGAGUCGUAAAGUUCUGUUAUAGGGGAAGAAGAAGUGACGGUACCCUAUGAGAAAGCCACGGCUAAUUACGUGCCAGCAGCCGCGGUAAUACGUAAGUGGCAAGCGUUAUCCGGAAUUACUGGGCAUAAAGAGUUCGUAGGCGGUUAAUCAAGCCAGCUAGUGAAAGCCAUCGGCCUAACCGAUGUAAGCUAAUGGAACUGGUUAACUUGAGUACAGGAGAGGAAAGUGGAAUUCCUAGUGUAGUAGUGAAAUGCGUAGAUAUUAGGAAGAACAUCAGUAGCGAAGGCGACUUUCUGGACUGUAACUGACGCUGAGGAACGAAAGCGUGGGGAGCGAACAGGAUUAGAUACCCUGGUAGUCCACGCCGUAAACGAUGGAUACUUGGUGUUGGCCGUAAAGGUCGGUGCCGGAGCAAAUGUAUUAAGUAUCCCGCCUGGGGAGUAUGGUCGCAAGGC